This 66-nucleotide transfer RNA is filed under the name Emberiza pusilla. RNAcentral describes it as "tRNA-Ser". Lineage: Eukaryota; Metazoa; Chordata; Aves; Passeriformes; Fringillidae. The record is from RNAcentral.
GAGGAGAGGUAGAAACCAACGAGAACUGCUAAUUCUUGCCUCUGAGCAUAAAACCUCAGUCUCCUU